UGUUGCUGACCUUUCUCAGAUCCGAAGCUGCUGCUCCAGGCACAGUACUUGGAGUAAUCACUGGUCAUCACUGAGGAAUUAUAAGUCCUCCAGAGAGCAGAAUCAAUUCUCUUUGGAGCUGUAGUUGUCAUUGCCCCUAGAAAGGACUGAAACUUUUGCUUUGCAAAAAGUUAAACCUUUAUCCUCAACAUACUCCCUUAGGUUAAAGAGAGUAGGAUGUGGUGAGAAGAACAACCUCUGGGGCAACCAGCAUGCUGCAGACACAGGGUCUGAAGUUAGGAAGGUGGAGGUAGCUGUUUUUCAUCGCCUUCUGACUGGCUGCCACCUGGGGAUAGUCCACCAUGGCUGGAUCUGGGCAGGAUUUGAAGUAUUCACCAAACCAUGCUGUGUUGAGUCUCCGAAAACUACUUGGCAAGUGAUCCUUCAGGAGAGACAGUUUCCCAUUGAGGCUUCAGGGUAAUGUGAACUUCCAUCUCUGGCAAGCUGCUGUACUGAGCCCUCACAGAAUCCAGACUUUUCAGGGGUAAAGGAAGUUUUCUCUGUGGAAGUGAAGUUCCAUCAACAAUCAGAAGAGCCUGUGAAUAGGAAAUAUUACCUUUACACUCAACCAGACUGCCUCAGUUGUCUUGAGUUGACUACAGAUUUCAGCAUGUUCAAAGCAUAGCAUUUUUACCUCUGUUAUAAAUUACAGAAAUUAAUAUAUAUAUAUAUUCAAUUUUGAAUUUUUAAAAGAAAAUAGAUUUCAAACAAUGGCAUCACUUGGGGGGGUGUCUUUUUUUCUUAUAGUGUUGAAAU
This 795-nucleotide long non-coding RNA is filed under the name Anser cygnoides (Swan goose). RNAcentral's name for it is "lncRNA (ENSACDG00005009276.1)". Lineage: Eukaryota; Metazoa; Chordata; Aves; Anseriformes; Anatidae. The record is from RNAcentral.